CCUCAUCUUCUGUAUCUCUCCAAGUUAAAGAGAGAAAGAGAGAGAGAAUGGGAAAAAAGGAGGGCAAAGGAAAACAGAAAGAUGACUGUUUUAGUUCUUAUUACUGUUAUUGCAGCUAGUUAGAAGAAAAUGUGUUUCGAUAAGAGCAAAUGUAUCCUAGCAAGGUGAUCACUGUCUGGGUUCCAGAGACCUUUGCAGGUCUCAUUAUGAUCCUGAAGCACAUCCUGUGAUGCUUAAUUUCCUCUUCCUUGGGGUUCAUUUCAUGUGUUUGGAAAUAGCCUGAUUAGAGGAAGAAUUUCAACUUGCAGGAGGAGGAAGGGGAAAUUCAAGCUGGGCAAUAUUUCCUUUCUCUGAAUGUUGCGUGAUGUCCUUACCAAUCACCCAUUACAUGUGUUUUGCUAAUUUUGUGCAAAACUGAAAAGGAGGUAAGAGAUGAACAAACUGGGUUGGAGGUCAGUUGGAAACUGAAGCCAGCAGCUCAGACCCAGAUGGAUUUAAAAGGACAAGGAAGGAGCCUAUUAAACCUCUUUGUUAAGAGACCCAGCUGCUUGUUUUCU
RNAcentral lists this long non-coding RNA (557 nucleotides) under Capra hircus (goat). RNAcentral's name for it is "lncRNA (ENSCHIG00010009177.1)". The record is from RNAcentral. Lineage: Eukaryota; Metazoa; Chordata; Mammalia; Artiodactyla; Bovidae.